Molecule: long non-coding RNA, 6350 nt
Organism: Cyprinus carpio carpio
Lineage: Eukaryota; Metazoa; Chordata; Actinopteri; Cypriniformes; Cyprinidae
Source: Ensembl
UUCGUCUCCUCCGCAUCACCCUAUAGCUCCAUUUUGUAGCAUAUCACGUACGUAAACAACAUAUGCAACGUAUGUACGGAAAUACGUUGUUUAUGUUCAGAUCAAAGCAUAAAUGAUGCAAACAGUGUAUCCGCGUGCUGUGCUGCUAACACAGAACGUCAUACAUUGUUUACAUAUGUGAUACUCUAAGAAAUGGCACUAUAGGGUGAUGCGGAGGAGAAAAAUUGUUGAAUAAAGUCGUUAUUUCUGUUUUCUUUGACAAACUGUGUGUGUUACGUCCCCUUUAAUCAUGUAAGGGUCCUUGCUGUCUAUGGGAAGAUCAGAGAGCUCUCAGAAUUCAUCAAAAAUAUGUGUUCCGAAGAUGAAUGAAGGUCUUACAGAUUUAGAACGACAUGAGGGUGAGUAAUUAAUGACAGAAUUUAAAUUUUUGGGUGAACCAUCCCUUUCAGUAGUAACAUUUAAAAAAUGUUAGUCAAACGUUCAACUGAAGAGUUUUAGUAAAAAAUAAAAUAAAAUUGUGCUAACAUUUUAUUAAAGACCAGCUAAGUUUAAAUGAACAUUCUAUUAAUGUUACUUUAAGAAUGUUUGUUUAUAACUUUGAGAGAGCUUUGCCAGCCACAGUUCUGAGAACAUUAUAUUGCAUUUGUUUCAGUUUGAUCUAUGCAUUUAUGCCAGAAGUAAUUCAUGAGCAUGCCUUAAAAUGGAGCAAAUAAAACUGGAAUAAUACUUUUUCUCUGCAUUUUACAUUGACACUGAUAUUCCGUGUCAAAGUAGGACCACUGAAUUUAAAGCACAAUCUUGGUAUCCCUUCCUCCAGGGAAUGAGAACUAACGGGAAACAUUUUUUAUGUUUAUGGCAAAACUAGAGCAUCAUCACUGCAAUCUUGCAACUUCCAUAUUUGUCUCCUCACUGUCUGAGCUUUUGAGCAUUUAAAAUAAUUAAAAUACUUUAAUUAAGCUCAGCAUGCAAUAACAGUCUUGGAGUGUUUAAUUAGUUUAAUAGUUUUGAUUCAGCUGUAAUACUUCAAUGGUGAAUUAUAUGUCCCAUUUAUCACAAGCUGUAAUAGCUCAUUUUGCAGAAUCAUAGCAUAACUAAUAAAUAAAGGUCUUCUUAUGUUGUUUUUGAGGAUUGUGGCGCGCUCUAAAUCCAUGCCCCAGACAUUAGUGAUGCCUAUGGGCUUUAAAAAGAAAAUUAAUUAGAUUUUGACAAAUAAAGCAUCUGUAUGCAUCCUUUCGAAGAUGAAAGCACUUGAUUACCUUGGUUCUUCAAAACAAGUUGAGCCAAAUCUAGGACAUUACUGUGAAUUCAUUUGCAGUUGUACAUAACAUCAUACAGAUGGUGAAGUAAAAACCAGAUAUAACCUGACUUGAGUUGCAAAUUUAAUUAUGUAUAAUGUAAAUUAAAAUACCAUGAUUAUAAUAGAAAUUUAUCCUUAAAGCUGGCGGUUGCUUAUUAGGAGAUUUACACCACGACUGCAGCUUAGAGAAACAGGGCUUUAACUAUAUGACACAAUUAUAUUGUAUUACUUUUUGACAUCAUAAUGUGGGCUGUGAGUCACCACUGUUAAUUAAUGCUUAACAAUGGCCGAUGUUGUAUUGCACUGCGGGACAUCAGAGCAUUCAUGAGGUAUUAGACAAAGCAUUCUCCAAAAUACUCACUUUUAAAUAAGCAUUCAUUUGAAACAGAUCAAACUGUGAGCUCAAAAUGAGGUUCUGAGAGAGGGUGAAAAGAGUGAGAGCCGCAGCUCCAGUAUUGAGCAAAAGGGCUGUUUUGUAUGUACUGACACAGAGCUCAUUACAGAAGAGGCAGAAGCCAAAUCCUUCAGUGCCCGUAGGCAGGGAUUUACCGAGGAGGAGAUAAAAGCUGGUUCAUGAUCGCAAUAGAAGUACAUGCUUGGUCACUGCACUUAAACACUUCAUUGUUUUGGCAUUCAGUUGAAAUAGUGCUUUAAUGGAGCUAUGUGAAUACAAUUGUUUCUGUCAAAUUACAUCUCUGUUCUCAUUAUAUAAAAGAGUUUUGCUGUUGCUGUGGAGAAAGUACUGUAAAACAUGUCGGCUAAGUUGGGAAGUGGGAAUUUUGCAUGCUUCUGAAACCAUCGUUGUCAACACCUUAUGUGUGGUUUGCAAUUGCUUCUAAAAUGUGUGACCUCUAAUCGCAUGAACACAAUUCAUUAGCAAGAUACAAGGGCAUCAGUGAAGUCUUAAAAUAGCUGCAAAAUGCAUGCAUUUUUGCGAGUAUGGAGCUAAGCAUUCAUGUGGGCAAAGUUUUUGUAAUAUCAAGAAAUUGAGUUCAUUUCUACUGUAGGUAUUGACAUCGAUUCCUACAUGUGUUUGAUUUGCUCCCCUUCAUUUUCUUUCGUUGUGAAAGGUGUUUGGCAUUCCCUGAAGAGUCAAGAAUAUGGCGAAAAAUAUAUCAAUGCUAGACUGCGUACAUGACAGAUAUUCUUGUUUGACUGUAAUUCCAUGAAAGUGUAACUACCUGGAGGCUGUAUUUGUGUAGACUGGUAUACAUUUUCUUGAUGUCUGAUUAACAAUAUGGUAAAAAAUCAAACCUCAAGGGUGAGGAUGGGAGAUGAACCACAAGUAUAUGCAUAUAUCCUCUUAAUAACUUUCUGGGGUUCUGUUGUUUCCCUUAUUAUGUUUAAUAUCAAGAAGAUUAAGUAUGCAGAUUACGAUUAGUGCAGUUACGGAAUAUAGAGUAGUCUUCAUUACGUAUCCCUCACCAAUCUAGCGUUUAAUAUUUGCAGAACGUUGUAAAAUGAUGAAAAUUAAACUGCUCGGAUUCAUUAGCUUUAUGUGUUGCAGCAAUAAGAAAGUAAUUAAACCACUGCAGGCAUUAUGAUGCUCCAGUUAAGAAAGAGGCCAAGUUCUUUGAAAUUGUUUGUGCUGUAAUGAAAAAUGGAUCAGCAGAUUUUUGAUAAUGUUGUUUUAGAGUAACAGAAAGACAAAGGCCAUAAUGUUGUCUUUUUAACCUCUCACAGAUUUACAAUGGUCUCAUUGUUUGUUAAAUUAGUUUGUUUUGUGUAAUGCUUGUUUCUGAUAAGUCAUCAUGCCCUGCAGUGGUUGGAUAUUUCCCAUAUUUUCGGAAGUAAAAACAUAAUUUUCUGCAUAGGGAGAUUUUUUGAGGAUAAUUUAAAAAAAAACUUUAAAGACAGACCUGUUGUAAGCGCCGAGAUUGUUGAUUGAUGAAUUGUUGAAGUCAUCUGUUCACAUUAUUUCAACUUACUUAAAAAAAAAGAAUGUUUACCAGCAGUAUUUGUAGUUGAAAACUACAUUACCCAUGAUGCUGCACAAAAAUUCCAACAAUCAGAGAGCUGCGAUGAGAAAAUCACAUCAAAAGAGCCUUCUCCCUACACUCUCAAAAUAUUUAAACAACUUUAAAUAAAUAGUUUUAUGUUUAUCUAUCAUUUUAAACUCAAUUGUCAUUUGCAGUGCUUCAUGGGAUUGUAAUUCUUUCCCUUAGUAAAAUCUUGUUCUUUUGUCUUUUUGUCCAAUUUUUGCAUCAAAUCAAAAAUUUUAAUGUUGUUAUUCACCUUGUAACUGGUUAGCUUGGUUCAGGGCUUAUUAUGCUUUAAUUAAGACUUUUUUUUAAAUCCCUGUUGGAAAUAUAUAAUUGUUUGUAAUAAUUUCAAUGUAAAUAAGUACUUUAUUUGGUAAGUAGCCAUGUUAAGUGAGAUAAUAUCCAGUAAGAUCAAAUAAACCCCUUGAAUUCAGGGAUAAAUAUAUAUCCUGAUCACCCUGUCCGGGUUGAUUUUGCGAUAAUUACAGAUUGACUGUACGUUUUCUCAUAUUUAUUCAAUUCGUAGGGAACUUAUAAGAUUCGUCAUCAAAAAUGUACAAAGAAAUGAGAAAAGAAGCAGCUAGCAACCACUCUCAGAGAAAAGAAAGCCAAAGUACAGAAAGAAAGAAAUGAGGACAUGAAUAUGUGCUGUACAAUAACAGUGUAUCAUAUUUCCAAGCAUUAUUGGUUUGUUUAUUGAAGAUGGUGAAAAACUCAUUUUAUGGAUAGUAAUAAACCUCUCUGUUUAUUGAAUACACAGAUCAAUUAUAGACUGGGGAAUCAAAACUGUAAUCUUUUUUUCCUCCUGUGAACACAGACCCACAAUUCUGCUUCGGCUGAUGACAAACAAAUGAACCCCUGUGUAGGAGUUUUUUUCAGAGGCCAGAUAUAAAGGAACACUAUGAUAACAAAGGUUGUAUUGAAUUCUCUUUGUCACUGUCUGUUUAAACAUAAACAUCCUGUUACAAUCAGACUUGGAGAGUAGGCGAAUUAAAAUUGCAUGUGCAACAAUGGAUACCUGAAAUUGAAACGCAGAGUUAAUAGCACGAUUCAUAUGCUGGCAAGGUCACUGUGUCACUCAAAAAAAGACAAAAGUUCCCCAUAAAACAGUGUACAAACAGAUUCAUCAGCUUCCAAAAUCACCUUUGAUUAGCUAUGAUGGCAAAUUGGUAUUGUUCAACAUCAUGUGCUCUAAAUCAUGUAAAUCCCUACUGAUGCCUUCCCUGUGCACUCUGAAGUCAGCUCGUGAACACAGACAGUUGGCAGAAUUUUCAAAUCUGCCGAUUUGAUUAAUAUCAAAAAACAAUAACCAUCAAUUACUUUCACAGCGACUUCCUGGCAGCCAGCUGCCCAUACGCUGCGAUAUUUGAUUUCACAUUAACCAACUGCUUACAUGAAUAGUGGCACAUUUCAUAGUAGCUGGCAGCUUGCUAUCUCUUGGUAAAUCUGUUUAUUAUUAAUGUAAAUAAGUGGCAAUUUUGACAUCCUCUGGAGAAAAUAAAGACACAGUUUAAAGAUAUUUAUGCUCUUUGAACUGGCUUAAAUUGUUUAAACAUUUGUUCAAUAAAAUAUGUUAAUCGCUAAGUGUAUGCUGAUUUAUUUACAGUUACAGUUUGUCAUUUAGCAGCUGUUUUUAUCAAGUGACUUAUGAGCGACUUAUGUGUUUAUAUAUCUUAUAAUAUAUUUGUUUAUUUAUUUAUUUUUAUCUCUAUCUAUCUAUCUAUCUAUCUAUCUAUCUAUCUAUCUAUCUAUCUAUCUAUCUAUCUAUCUAUCUAUCUAUCUAUCUGUCUGUCUAUCUAUCUAUCAUCUUUUUUAUUUUUAUAAAUCUUUCUCUCUUGGGAAAAACAUACAAAAACUUCUUGUAGCUAUUUGUUUUUGCACAAUUGCACAGAACCGAUUAAGUUUCUCCAUUUUGAUUUAUUGUUUUUAUUGUAUGUCUAUAAAUGAGAAAUGAAGUAGGGGUAUGAUUAUUGAUUGCAUCCACGAGCAGGUUUUAGUUAGACCAGAAAACCUGUCAACACCUGUCAUGCGGUACUGGAAGAACAGCAGUGAGAAAGUCAAUGAGAAAGAAAAAAGCAGGAGAGAAAGGCGGCAGGAGAAAAGAAAGGAGAAAGAAAGAGAAAGAGUAAGAAAAGGGAGGGGAGGAUGAGGGGCCUUGCGAGAAUCGACUCCUCUGUAAAUCAAUUCUCAGCCAGGUUUCACAACAGUCUGAAAUCUUCUAUCAUCAUGAUGAAGUAUGAAAACACAAAGGAGGAGAAAAAAACCAAGACUUUUGUUAAGUUUUACACAUCAAUAUAAUGUCAGUGCUUCUCUCCACAUAAAAAAGCUGGCCCACGUUUGUGCAGGAGGUGCAUGCAGACAGAAUGACAUGGUAUUUCUAAAAAAGGAAUAGGAAAUUGUCUGCCAGUCAGGGCCUGUUUUUAAAAGAUUGCAUUGUUAUCAGUCCAACGUGAAGCAAAAUCACAUCACUGGAUAUCAGUACUCUUGCUUGUUUACACAGCAGUUCUAUAGGCAAGAAGUUCUGUAACUUCAGAAGAAAAACUUUCAUACAAAUUGGCCAGUUUGUACAUUGUACACAAAAAAUACUCUAAAACAAGCCAAACCAUCAGUCUUUGAAUGGCCCUAAGCAACGCAUAGACAGAAAUAGAAUAUAUUCCAUCCAAGUGUUCUGAAAUUACUCCACUCCAGGUUUUUUGUUCCUCGUUUGCUGAUUCAUAUUUUCCUAUGAGAGAAAACAACGCUUCAGUCUGAAACAUAAAGAAAACAGGCAAGUGGAGUGAAACAAACAGUGAAAAGCCCCAGUUUAAAGUUCACUAACUUUUCUUGUGAUUUAUUCAGUCAGAACUGAUGAACGAAAAAGUUAAACAUUUCUCACACCUUGCAACUGAUAAAAUGUAUGUGCAAUAAAAAAGUGUUGUCAUUUGUAAUUCAUGCAGUGUCAUCUAUGCUAUUCUUUGCCCUUGUGAAAGACUUUAUGUAGAGGAAACACACAGAGUUGAGAACAUAUGCUGAUUAAAGUAAUCCCGAGGCACAACAUCCCAAAGAACAUUCAUCAGUAUUUUUUGUUAUUG